Molecule: ribosomal RNA, 525 nt
Filed under: uncultured Pelagibacterales bacterium
Lineage: Bacteria; Pseudomonadati; Pseudomonadota; Alphaproteobacteria; Candidatus Pelagibacterales
Description: bacterial SSU rRNA
Rfam family: Bacterial small subunit ribosomal RNA
Source: RNAcentral
UACUUAGUGGCAGACGGGUGAGUAACAUGUGGGUAUCUACCCUUUGGCCUGGAAUAACACGAGGAAACUUGUGCUAAUACCGGAUAAGUCUUUACGGAGAAAGCUUUAUGCACCAUUGGAUGAGCCCGCACUUGAUUAGUUUGUUGGUAGGGUAAUGGCCUACCAAGACUAUGAUCAAUAGCUGAUUUGAGAGGAUGAUCAGCCACAUUGGGACUGAGACACGGCCCAAACUCCUACGGGAGGCAGCAGUGGGGAAUCUUGCACAAUGGAGGAAACUCUGAUGCAGCGAUGCCGCGUGAGUGAAGAAGGCCUUUGGGUUGUAAAGCUCUUUCGUCGGGGAAGAAAAUGACUGUACCCGAAUAAGAAGGUCCGGCUAACUUCGUGCCAGCAGCCGCGGUAAUACGAAGGGACCUAGCGUAGUUCGGAAUUACUGGGCUUAAAGAGUUCGUAGGUGGUUGAAAAAGUUGGUGGUGAAAUCCCAGAGCUUAACUCUGGAACUGCCAUCAAAACUUUUCAGCUAGAGUA